This 373-nucleotide ribosomal RNA is filed under the name uncultured organism. Its description in RNAcentral is "bacterial SSU rRNA". It matches the Rfam family "Bacterial small subunit ribosomal RNA", at positions 526 to 896 of the family's 1533-position model. The record is from RNAcentral.
CGUAGGUGGCAAGCGAUACUCGGAAUCACUAGGCGUAAAAGCGCAGGUAGGCGGUUUGGUAAGUCUUUUGUGAAAGCUCCCGGCUUAAACUCGGGAGAGGUCAAGGGAAACUACCGGACUAGAGUAGUGGUAGGGGAUACUGGAAUUCCUGGUGUAGCGGUGAAAUGCGUAGAUAUCAGGAGGAAUACCUAUGGCGAAAGCAGGUAUCUGGGCCAUCACUGACGCUGAGCUGCGAAAGCUAGGGGAGCAAACAGGAUUAGAUACCCUGGUAGUCCUAGCCCUAAACGAUGCUCAUUAGAUGUGGGAGUAUCGACCCUUCGACGUCGCAGCUAACGCAUUAAAUGAGCCGCCUGGGGAUACGGCCGCAAGGUUG